RNAcentral lists this ribosomal RNA (331 nucleotides) under uncultured bacterium. RNAcentral describes it as "bacterial SSU rRNA". It matches the Rfam family "Bacterial small subunit ribosomal RNA", at positions 568 to 898 of the family's 1533-position model. The record is from RNAcentral.
UGCGUAGGCGGUUUCGAAAGUCCGAUGUGAAAUCCCCGGGCUUAACCUGGGAACUGCGUUGGAAACUACGAGGCUAGAGUGCGGCAGAGGGGGGUGGAAUUCCAGGUGUAGCAGUGAAAUGCGUAGAGAUCUGGAGGAACACCGAUGGCGAAGGCAGCCCCCUGGGUUAGCACUGACGCUCAUACACGAAAGCGUGGGGAGCAAACAGGAUUAGAUACCCUGGUAGUCCACGCCCUAAACGAUGGCAACUAGUUGUUGGAGGAUGAACUCCUUUAGUAACGCAGCUAACGCGUGAAGUUGCCCGCCUGGGGAGUACGGUCGCAAGAUUAAA